RNAcentral lists this ribosomal RNA (253 nucleotides) under uncultured bacterium. RNAcentral describes it as "partial 16S ribosomal RNA". It matches the Rfam family "Bacterial small subunit ribosomal RNA", at positions 524 to 776 of the family's 1533-position model. The record is from RNAcentral.
GACGAACCGUGCGAACGUUGUUCGGAAUCACUGGGCUUAAAGGGCGCGUAGGCGGACCAGCAAGUCCGGGGUGAAAUCUUUCGGCUUAACCGGAAAAGUGCCUUGGAUACUGCUGGCCUUGAGGGAGGUAGGGGCAUGUGGAACUUCCGGUGGAGCGGUGAAAUGCGUUGAUAUCGGAAGGAACGCCGGUGGCGAAAGCGACGUGCUGGCCCUCUUCUGACGCUGAGGCGCGAAAGCCAGGGGAGCGAACGGG